UUUGAGAGUUUGAUCCUGGCUCAGGAUGAACGCUGGCGACGUGGAUAAGGCAUGCAAGUCGAGUGGGUUUAGACCCACGGCAAACGGGUUAGUAAUACAUAGGAACGUACCCCUAAGUCGUGAAUAACUUGGAGAAAUCCAGGAUAAUACACGAUAAUCUCUACGGAGUAAUGUCCCGACGCAAGUCGGGACGCUUAGGGAGCGGCCUGUGUCCUAUCAGCUAGUUGGUGAGGUAAUGGCUCACCAAGGCUAUGACGGGUAGGGGGCGUGAGAGCGUGAUCCCCAACAUUGGAACUGAGACACUGUCCAAACACCUACGGGUGGCUGCAGUCGAGAAUAUUGCGUGCGGGAUGAAGGCCCUUGGGUCGUAAACCGCUUUUCUAAAGGAAGAAAUUGUUUAAGGCGGAAUUCCUCUUUUUCGGGAAUGACUGACACAAAAUAAUAGUGAGGCACGAUUUGACGGUACUUUAGGAAUAAGAGGUUGCUAACUCUGUGCCAGCAGCAGCGGUAAUACAGAGACCUCAAGCGUUAUCCGGAUUUAUUGGGCGUAAAGAGCAUGUAGGCGGAUAUGGAAACUGCAUUUGAAACGGUAUAUCUAGAGGAAGUGAGAGAUCGAUGGAACGUAUGGUGUAGCAGUGAAAUGCGUUGAUAUCAUACGGAACACCAAAGGCGAAGGCAUUCGAUUGGCACUUUUCUGACGCUGAGAUGCGAAAGCGUGGGUAGCGAAUGGGAUUAGAUACCCCAGUAGUCCACGCCGUAAACGAUGCAUACUUGGUAUUAGGAGAAUCGACCCUCCUAGUGUCGUAGCUAACGCGUUAAGUAUGCCGCCUGGGAAGUACGAGCGCAAGCUUAAAACUCAAAGGAAUAGACGGGGAUCCGCACAA
RNAcentral lists this ribosomal RNA (884 nucleotides) under Candidatus Moranbacteria bacterium GW2011_GWF2_35_39. Its description in RNAcentral is "bacterial SSU rRNA". It matches the Rfam family "Bacterial small subunit ribosomal RNA", at positions 1 to 928 of the family's 1533-position model. Lineage: Bacteria; Candidatus Moraniibacteriota. The record is from RNAcentral.